RNAcentral lists this ribosomal RNA (945 nucleotides) under Acinetobacter sp. 7619. Its description in RNAcentral is "bacterial SSU rRNA". It matches the Rfam family "Bacterial small subunit ribosomal RNA", at positions 406 to 1342 of the family's 1533-position model. Lineage: Bacteria; Pseudomonadati; Pseudomonadota; Gammaproteobacteria; Moraxellales; Moraxellaceae. The record is from RNAcentral.
UGAAGAAGGCCUUUUGGUUGUAAAGCACUUUAAGCGAGGAGGAGGCUACUUGGAUUAAUACUCUAGGAUAGUGGACGUUACUCGCAGAAUAAGCACCGGCUAACUCUGUGCCAGCAGCCGCGGUAAUACAGAGGGUGCGAGCGUUAAUCGGAUUUACUGGGCGUAAAGCGUGCGUAGGCGGCUUUUUAAGUCGAGAUGUGAAAUCCCUGAGCUUAACUUAGGAAUUGCAUUCGAUACUGGGAAGCUAGAGUAUGGGAGAGGAUGGUAGAAUUCCAGGUGUAGCGGUGAAAUGCGUAGAGAUCUGGAGGAAUACCGAUGGCGAACGCAGCCAUCUGGCCUAAUACUGACGCUGAGGUACGAAAGCGUGGGGAGCAAACAGGAUUAGAUACCCUGGUAGUCCAUGCCGUACACGAUGUCUACUAACCGUUGGGGCCUUUGAGGCUUUAGUGGCGCAUCUAACGCGAUAAGUACACCGCCUGGAGAGUACGGUCGCAAGACUAACACUCAUAUGAAUUGACGGGGCCCCGCACAAGCGGUGGAGCAUGUGGUUUAUUUCUAUGCAACGCGAAGAACCUUACCUGGUCUUGACCUAGAAAGAACUUUCCAGAGAUGGAUUGGUGCCUUCGGGAACUUACAUACAGGUGCUGCGUGGCUGUCCUCAUCUCGUGUCGUGAGAUGUUGGGUUAAGUCCCGCAACGAGCGCAACCCUUUUCCUUAUGUGCCAGCGGGUUAAUCCGGAAUCUUUAAGGAUACUGCCAGUGACAAACUGAAGAAAGUGCGGACACCACCUCAAGUCAUCUUGGCCCUUAGGACCAGGUCUACACACGUGCUACAGUGGUCGGCACAAAGGGUUGCUACCUAGCGAUAGGAUGCUAAUCUCAAAAAGCCGAUCGAACUCCCGUUUGACUCUGCACUCCACUCCGUGAACUCGAACUCCCUAAUACU